AGUGAACGCUGGCGGUAGGCCUAACACAUGCAAGUCGAACGGCAGCACAGUAAGAGCUUGCUCUUACGGGUGGCGAGUGGCGGACGGGUGAGGAAUACAUCGGAAUCUACUUUUUCGUGGGGGAUAACGUAGGGAAACUUACGCUAAUACCGCAUACGACCUACGGGUGAAAGCAGGGGAUCUUCGGACCUUGCGCGAUUGUAUGAGCCGAUGUCGGAUUAGCUAGUUGGCGGGGUAAAGGCCCACCAAGGCGACGAUCCGUAGCUGGUCUGAGAGGAUGAUCAGCCACACUGGAACUGAGACACGGUCCAGACUCCUACGGGAGGCAGCAGUGGGGAAUAUUGGACAAUGGGCGCAAGCCUGAUCCAGCCAUACCGCGUGAGUGAAGAAGGCCUUCGGGUUGUAAAGCCCUUUUGUUGGGAAAGAAAAGCAGCAGAUGAAUACCCCGCUGUUCUGACGGUACCCAAAGAAUAAGCACCGGCUAACUUCGUG
This 492-nucleotide ribosomal RNA is filed under the name uncultured bacterium. RNAcentral's name for it is "partial 16S ribosomal RNA". It matches the Rfam family "Bacterial small subunit ribosomal RNA", at positions 29 to 507 of the family's 1533-position model. The record is from RNAcentral.